Molecule: non-coding RNA, 45 nt
Filed under: Echinostoma caproni
Lineage: Eukaryota; Metazoa; Platyhelminthes; Trematoda; Plagiorchiida; Echinostomatidae
Source: RNAcentral
GCACUGCUGGCGAGUCCCGAACAGGACGAAACAGCUGUCCAGUGC